UUGUGUAAUAUAAAAUAGGGAGUCGGACCUGCCCGGUGAAAAUUUUUAACGGCCGCGGUACUCUGACCGUGCAAAGGUAGCAUAAUCAUUUGCCUUAUAAUUGAAGGCUAGUAUGAAUGGUUUGACAAGAAUAUAGCUGUCUCUUUACAAUUUGAUAGAAUUUUAUUUUUAGGUGAAAAAGCCUUAAUUGAAUUAAAAGACAAGAAGACCCUAUCGAGCUUAAGAGAAGUUGGUGGAUAAAAGCUUUUAUUUUUAAAAGGUAUGACUAUCAUAUACUUUGGUUGGGGCGACUGAGGAACAGACAAAGCUUCCUUUGUAAAACUGUUUACGUACAAGUAUUAGAUCCAUGGUUGAUGAUUGAAGAAAUUAGUUACCGUAGGGAUAACAGCAUUAUCCUUUUUGAGAGUUCUAAUCGAAAAAGGGGUUUGUGACCUCGAUGUUGGAUCAGAAUGUCCUAAAGGUGCAGAAGUCUUUAAGGGUUGGUCUGUUCGACCAUUAAAAUUCUA
Molecule: ribosomal RNA, 506 nt
Filed under: Myurella pygmaea
Lineage: Eukaryota; Metazoa; Mollusca; Gastropoda; Neogastropoda; Terebridae
Description: Terenolla pygmaea partial 16S ribosomal RNA
Rfam family: Bacterial large subunit ribosomal RNA
Source: RNAcentral